CUAUCGUGGGCGUAUGAAAUUUGCGUGGCUCUGACACUAGUACGAGAGGACCGUGUUGGACUGACCUCUGGUUUACCAGUUGUGCCGCCAGGUGCAUUGCUGGGUAUCUAAGUCGGGAUUGGAUAAGUGCUGAAAGCAUCUAAGUACGAAGCCAGCCACAAGAUUAGAUUUCUUAGGGUCGUCAAAGACGAUGACGUUGAUAGGAUGCAGGUGUACAGGUGGUAACAUCAUAGCCGAGCAUUACUAAUUGCCCGUUCACUUUUGGUC
This 267-nucleotide ribosomal RNA is filed under the name Bacteroides uniformis. RNAcentral describes it as "partial 23S ribosomal RNA". It matches the Rfam family "Bacterial large subunit ribosomal RNA", at positions 2642 to 2925 of the family's 2925-position model. The record is from RNAcentral. Lineage: Bacteria; Pseudomonadati; Bacteroidota; Bacteroidia; Bacteroidales; Bacteroidaceae.